RNAcentral lists this ribosomal RNA (468 nucleotides) under uncultured bacterium. RNAcentral's name for it is "partial 16S ribosomal RNA". It matches the Rfam family "Bacterial small subunit ribosomal RNA", at positions 28 to 507 of the family's 1533-position model. The record is from RNAcentral.
GACGAACGCUGGCGGCGUGCUUAACACAUGCAAGUCGAACGGAAAGGCCCUGCUUUUGUGGGGUGCUCGAGUGGCGAACGGGUGAGUAACACGUGAGUAACCUGCCCUUGACUUUGGGAUAACUUCAGGAAACUGGGGCUAAUACCGGAUAGGAGCUCCUGCUGCAUGGUGGGGGUUGGAAAGUUUCGGCGGUUGGGGAUGGACUCGCGGCUUAUCAGCUUGUUGGUGGGGUAGUGGCUUACCAAGGCUUUGACGGGUAGCCGGCCUGAGAGGGUGACCGGCCACAUUGGGACUGAGAUACGGCCCAGACUCCUACGGGAGGCAGCAGUGGGGAAUAUUGCCCCAUGGGCGGAAGCCUGAUGCAGCAACGCCGCGUGCGGGAUGACGGCCUUCGGGUUGUAAACCGCUUUCGCCUGUGACGAAGCGUGAGUGACGGUAAUGGGUAAAGAAGCACCGGCUAACUACGUG